This 858-nucleotide long non-coding RNA is filed under the name Linum usitatissimum (flax). Its description in RNAcentral is "long non-coding RNA (LUSI_LNC002113)". Lineage: Eukaryota; Viridiplantae; Streptophyta; Magnoliopsida; Malpighiales; Linaceae. The record is from RNAcentral.
GCUCUCGCGCCUUUUAACUGGAGGUGGAAGAUCACUAACUCCAACUGAGAUUCGACAAUCCGGAUGUAAAGAAAGCAUAUAGAGCUGCAUGUGGAUAGAAGCAUUUACCAUGUUGUCACAGUGUUCUCUUAUGAAGUCUACUUCCGCUGCAUUCCUCUGGUAGCCUUCCAUCUGAGCUAACAUUGAUUCCUUCUCUGUCGUGACCAUAGCCAGCUGGGUGCGGAGAUUCUGUUGAAAGAGGUGGCAUAUAUAUGAUCAGGAACUUGAUCAGAAACAAUGAUCACAAUCAAAUAUGCAGUUCCCGAUGAUGGGAAAGGAGGAGGAACCUCUAGGUCUUGAACUAGCUGUUGCUCAGCAUCUAUCUCCUUGAGUGUAGCUAGAUUCUCUCCCUCUAACCGAACAUUCUCAUCGUUGUUAUUGGUAUUCGCUUCGCCAGAAACACAAGGUGAUACUCCAGAUGGUAUCUCUGAGUCCAGCUGCUCCGUCUGUAGACAACAAAUGAUUAUUGUGGUUUUGAGUUCUGCAUGGAGACACUAAGCCAGCAAAAGGGAGAACUGAACUACUGUAUCUUACCACUUUGUGUCGGUCGCUCUCAAUGUUUGAUCUUCUCUCGUCGUGAUCUCGAGACAAUUCACUGAGACAACCAACAGAAUGCAAUUACUAGCAAUCUAGCAUAACAUCAAUCGGCCGAAAGCAUCAUUUACGACAAGGCUGUUAAAACGACCUGCAUUUCUCCGCUAGUUCAUCUUCCUUCUUCAACAAUGUUUCCUUGAGGACCUUGUAUUCUUCUUGGCAGGAUUCCAGUUCGCCUUGUACCUAGGGUGUCAUACGAGUGUCGUUAUAUAAAGCCAAUGGAAC